This 253-nucleotide ribosomal RNA is filed under the name uncultured bacterium. RNAcentral's name for it is "partial 16S ribosomal RNA". It matches the Rfam family "Bacterial small subunit ribosomal RNA", at positions 524 to 776 of the family's 1533-position model. The record is from RNAcentral.
UACGUAGGGGGCAAGCGUUGUCCGGAUUUAUUGGGCGUAAAGAGCGUGUAGGCGGCCAGACAGGUCCGUUGUGAAAACUCGAGGCUCAACCUCGAGAUGUCGAUGGAAACCGUCUGGCUAGAGUCCGGAAGAGGAGUGUGGAAUUCCUGGUGUAGCGGUGAAAUGCGCAGAUAUCAGGAAGAACACCUAUGGCGAAGGCAGCACUCUGGGACGGUACUGACGCUCAGGCACGAAAGCGUGGGGAGCAAACAGG